Molecule: long non-coding RNA, 1890 nt
Organism: Oncorhynchus tshawytscha (Chinook salmon)
Lineage: Eukaryota; Metazoa; Chordata; Actinopteri; Salmoniformes; Salmonidae
Source: Ensembl
UUUGUUGUAAUUUUUUUAUUGCACACCUUUAUCAUUUAGCUAACAGAUGUUCACAGCAACAAUGCAAUAGGAGAAAACAGAACAGAAGCGUAUCACUGCGGCACUGCAGCCUCUUAGGUCUUCCAAUAUAUUUAUAGAUAUUUACAGUGACAAUAUGAAAAUCGCAAGUACAACGCCCAGGGCUGAGUUAACCCUUUAACUGCUGCUGUAUGAAGGGAGGAGAAGGCUGAGUUGGUAGAGCAACUCCAGGGUUGUGGGUUCGAUUCCCACGGAGGACCAGUACAAAAAAGUAUGCAAAAAUGUAUGCACUCACUACUGUAAGUCACUCUGGAUAAGAGCGUCUGCUAAAUGACUCAAACGUAAAUGUAGAAUGUAACUCUUUCAACUUAGUCUGAGGAUCCAGGUCACACAGGCUGUAGUGUGAACUCUAUGUAGUUGUUGUCCUGUUCGUAUGGCCACCUGAAACAUUCAGUACACCCAACAUUCCACAGGCACCAGGUUAGCCAUACGUAGCCAGAUUCUAGGGGCUAUUGGUGGAAUAUAGAACGCCUGUAUAGAGCUCAACGCUUCCUGCAAUCAAAGACAGCUUUUCAGAUCAUAAAAUGGACAUAACAGUAAAUAGUACCAAAACAUCAUUAGUACCAAAACAUAAUUAGUACCAAAACAUAAUUAGUACCAAAACAUAAUUAGUACCAAAACAUAAUUAGUACCAAAACAUAAUUAGUACCAAAACAUAAUUAGUACCAAAACAUAAUUAGUACCAAAACAUAAUUAGUACCAAAACAUAAUUAGUACCAAAACAUAAUUAGUACAAAAACAUAAUUAGUACCAAAACAUAAAGAGAAAUGUUUCAAAAAAAGAAAAACCUUAGAACAUACCCCUUAUUUCCACAUCCAUGUUUAAAUGUUAUGACACGUCAAUAAAUGGUAUGUUCAUUUGGAAAAGCGUUGAACAAUACAACAGGAACAUUGUGUGUGACUGUGUAGCCUGGAUUGUAACAGGAAACUGCAUUUGACAUUUGUUUGGUGUUGUAAUGGUAACUUUAGUUGGUAUAAAAGAUGAAUGGCAUGACAACGGGGUAGUGCAUCUGACUUGUGUACUGGUAUACACUGUAAUCACAGUUCCAACCUCUUUACAUCCACAUGGAUAGAGACUAGACUAUUUCUCCCAAAUAAUCAUUUCGGUGUUACUGACGUCAACUUGAGGCUGCGUGAAGUGUGAGCAAAACUGGUGAGAGAUUGUUGGUAAUAAAAUAAUCUCAUGUGGGGAUAAAGCAAAGAGAUCAUGUAUUUUGGGGGGAAAACAGUAAAAAUCUCUCAUUUGUUACAUGAUAUGCAGAUACAUGGGGAUUUUUACCAAGACCUCGAAGGCCUAUUAAAUGAAUAGUGUCAGAUUGAUAUUCUCUUAUGGCAGUAUUUACAUAGUCCAGUAUUAUUAUUAUUAUUUGAAUGAAUCCCAAAUGGCACCCUAUUCCAUAUAUAGUGCACUACUUUUGACCAGAGCCCUAUGGGGUUAGGAUGUCAUUUGGGAGGUACCCUUUGUAUCCACAUCCUGUAAGCCAGGACUGCCAUGCCAGCUGAGACCAGAACAGAUAGGCUCAGCUAACGUGAGAUCUCUGAGACCAGAACAGAUAGGCUCAGCUAACGUGAGAUCUCUGAGACCAGAACAGAGGCUCAGCUAACGUGAGAUCUCUGAGACCAGAACAGAGGCUCAGCUAACGUGAGAUCUCUGAGACCAGAACAGAUAGGCUCAGCUAACGUGAGAUCUCUGAGACCAGAACAGAUAGGCUCAGCUAACGUGAGAUCUCUGAGACCAGAACAGAUAGGCUCAGCUAACGUGAGAUCUCUGAGACCAGAACAGAUAGGCUCAGCUAACGUGAGAUCUCUGAGA